AAUCCGUCGACUUUAAAAAUCGUC
This 24-nucleotide transfer RNA is filed under the name Bourreria spathulata. RNAcentral's name for it is "partial tRNA-Leu". Lineage: Eukaryota; Viridiplantae; Streptophyta; Magnoliopsida; Boraginales; Ehretiaceae. The record is from RNAcentral.